Long non-coding RNA from Perognathus longimembris pacificus (Pacific pocket mouse), 2566 nucleotides. RefSeq lists it as uncharacterized. The record is from RefSeq and is a predicted model, not a curated record. NCBI's taxonomy places the organism in Eukaryota, Metazoa, Chordata, Mammalia, Rodentia, Heteromyidae. The transcript is spliced from 2 exons.
AAGAGUUCAAGCCCCAGCACAGGCAAAAAAAAAAAAAAUCAAUUUAAGAAAGAAAGCAAAUUGAUCAUACUUAUAUCUGUAGGAGGAAAUUUUUUUUAAAGUACUAGCCAGUAUUUUACACUUCAAGUAUUUGCUAGUACCUUUAAAGGAACAUUUUCUCCCCCAACCCCAGGGUAAGGGAACUCUGAAAAACAACAGUUGUGCAUUUAAAGAGCAUGAUCAGUUCAUCAAAACUAGGACAUGGGCUGAAUAUAGAAUGCAGUGGUAAAGAUAUGUCAAAGCAAGGAAAACAGACCAUUCAUGGUGAUUAGAAAUUCAAGAGAUUUCCCUGUACUCAGAAAUGAUACAUAGCAGCUUAGGAUCAGUUAGAAUCUUUUUUUGCUUUAUGAAUUUGAUGCACAUUCUUCCAGAAAAUAAGUAGAAUAAAAAUCAACAAAAAACAUCACACCUCAAACCUUAUAUGCUGCAUUGUGUAAUAAUGAUAGUAAUAUUAUAUUGAUUGUUUGGAGUCUUCUGUGUCUGUUUGCAAAUAUUCAUGCACAUUAAAACUUUCAUUUUUAUAAUGUCUUAAUAGCAGUUAUGCAUUCAUUUUUAAGAUUAAUUUUUCAAUUGAUAUUUAUAUUUAUUGGCAAUUUAUGUGCAACUUUUUAUAUUUUGCUUAGAUGUGGGUUUUUCAGGUAUUUUAUUUUUACAGAUAUUUCUAGCUUUUCCUCUUCCUUUGUAAUGUUAGUAAACAUUAAGAUUGUGUGUUAAUAUACCAUUCAAACAGCUGUUUGCCUUCUUACCAAUAAAUCAUUAACACUAUCCUCUUAGAAUUCAAUGUUGUUUGUAUAGUAGGUAUUGAAGACAGUUUUUAAACAGAUUUUCUGUAUGUGGAGGGGAAGUGGGCUUUCUAAAAUUACAUCUUUUCUUUUUUUUCCUUUAGUAGCAACUUAACACUAACAGAUUAAAUUUACUUUACUGGAUUGCAGUUUGGGGAGAAAGUUGUCAAGCGAAUGAUUUUUACAUGUCUUUUUCUAGUUUCAGGCACAUCAUUCAGGAUUGAGAUUAUGGUAUCUUCAUAGACAAGGGAAACAAGUGGCAAGUGAUUCAGAAGUCGUUGAUAACUGGCUUUGAAAUUAGUAUUCCCCUCCCCCUAUAAUUAUGUGGAAAAUGUGCUAAUCUAAAUUUUUCUCCGAGUAUCAGUGAAGAAAUAGGAGUUUAAAGGGGCUAAGAGAGCCAGGGUUCAUAGAUUGUUUCAGUUCAUUAAAAUUUUAGCCAAUAAUAAUUUAUGAAUGUGGACUGAAGUAAAUUAUACAAUAUUCCAGUUUCCUAGUGAGUAGAUCAAGAUUAGUUGUAUUGGCACAUUAAUUUCUUUUUAAAAAAAGUAUGUUUCCUUAAGGUAGUAUAUUUCCUUUUUUGAGUUUGAUAAGGAAUUUUUUUCUGAGAGAAAUUUCAAGAGAUAACUUUUACCCCAUCCUCUUGACUUUUAAAUUCCCAAUUAUUGGGGCUAAAUACAUACGACUUUACUGUACAAUAUUAGUAUUCGGUUCUUACAGUGUGAGAGAAGGAAAUGGAAAGUUUUAAAUAAGUAUUACGGGAAAAUGGCAUAUUAUCUAAAAUGUGACAAUUUAAAAUGAGUCAGCAUGUUGUUUCUUUCCACAUUUUUCCAGCUAUAUAAAUUUCUUUAUAAUAUACUGUUAUGAGUUAUUUCCUUUACCUCUACAUCAAGUACUCAUUGAAGAUUGGUACUCUGAUGAUAGAACUUUGUUAACUGUUGAGUAAAAACUAAGUUUUGAACAGAUUUUGUAUAUUUCUGCUAGCAUAUGUCCUACUUUUAGAGUACUUAUAACUUUUUUUUACUAAUACAUUUCAACAGUGUCCUAGAUUGACAGGCAUGUAAUUCUUGUAGACCAACAAUUUUAAUGAUGCCUCUAGUCCUAUUUUUCCUUUUUGUACCUGAAACCUCCUGGGAUACCUGGUACAGAGCUUAUUUUAAUGGUUGGCUCCAAAAUUUCCAAUGCCUGGCAUCAGUGCUGCCAAACACGGUGAGAGACUGAGUGGCCUGCCUAUGUGUACAGUCCACUUCUUCAGAAGGAAGUAACUGCAGUAAUCAGAUCAUCCCCCAAAGGAAAGGUCAACAGUCUCGGACGUAGAAAACAGACAGGAGAGCAGACCAUUAAACUUUUGCAUUCUUAUUUUCAGAAACUGUGUGCACGCCUGUAAUUUUAUCUUGGAAGUACUAAGAGGCUGCACCAGAGACUAGAGAAGAAAACACAUUAUUCUGGUAUCCUAUUAUAAUAUCUGAGAAUAGGAGGUCUUUGGAAAAAAAUAGACUGGUGGGAUGUGAGCAUGUGCAGUGAGUGAGAAAUGAGAAUAAGGUUCUUAGAACCAUGGCAUUGCUAUCAACGUAGCUCUUCCACUUUUCUCUUUCCUCUAGAAAACACUAAGCUGGACCUUUCUAGACAAGGCAGUCUUCCCAGUAAAGAAAAUGUUCUUGGUGAGGGGCUGGGAAUGAGAGCUUGCCUUGCAUGCGUGAAGCCCUGGGUUCGAUUCCUCAGCACCACAUAUAUAGAAAAUGGCCAGA